RNAcentral lists this ribosomal RNA (112 nucleotides) under uncultured bacterium. Its description in RNAcentral is "partial 16S ribosomal RNA". It matches the Rfam family "Bacterial small subunit ribosomal RNA", at positions 1373 to 1482 of the family's 1533-position model. The record is from RNAcentral.
CCCGGGCCUUGUACACACCGCCCGUCACGCCACGAAAGUUUAUUGUACCAAAAAACGGUGCGCAAACCCGCAAGGGAUGCAGCCGGCUACGGUAUGGUAGAUAAUUGGGGCG